Molecule: ribosomal RNA, 772 nt
Filed under: Salmonella enterica subsp. enterica serovar Paratyphi A
Lineage: Bacteria; Pseudomonadati; Pseudomonadota; Gammaproteobacteria; Enterobacterales; Enterobacteriaceae
Description: partial 23S ribosomal RNA
Rfam family: Bacterial large subunit ribosomal RNA
Source: RNAcentral
UCCAUAGGUUAAUGAGGCGAACCGGGGGAACUGAAACAUCUAAGUACCCCGAGGAAAAGAAAUCAACCGAGAUUCCCCCAGUAGCGGCGAGCGAACGGGGAGGAGCCCAGAGCCUGAAUCAGCAUGUGUGUUAGUGGAAGCGUCUGGAAAGGCGCGCGAUACAGGGUGACAGCCCCGUACACAAAAGCGCAUGUGCUGUGAGCUCGAUGAGUAGGGCGGGACACGUGGUAUCCUGUCUGAAUAUGGGGGGACCAUCCUCCAAGGCUAAAUACUCCUGACUGACCGAUAGUGAACCAGUACCGUGAGGGAAAGGCGAAAAGAACCCCGGCGAGGGGAGUGAAAAAGAACCUGAAACCGUGUACGUACAAGCAGUGGGAGCACAGGUUUACCUGUGUGACUGCGUACCUUUUGUAUAAUGGGUCAGCGACUUAUAUUCUGUAGCAAGGUUAACCGUAUAGGGGAGCCGGAGGGAAACCGAGUCUUAACCGGGCGUUAAGUUGCAGGGUAUAGACCCGAAACCCGGUGAUCUAGCCAUGGGCAGGUUGAAGGUUGGGUAACACUAACUGGAGGACCGAACCGACUAAUGUUGAAAAAUUAGCGGAUGACCUGUGGCUGGGGGUGAAAGGCCAAUCAAACCGGGAGAUAGCUGGUUCUCCCCGAAAGCUAUUUAGGUAGCGCCUCGUGAAUUCAUCUCCGGGGGUAGAGCACUGUUUCGGCUAGGGGGCCAUCCCGGCUUACCAACCCGAUGCAAACUGCGAAUACCGGAGAAUGU